GUGGGGAAUAUUGGGCAAUGGGCGAAAGCCUGACCCAGCAACGCCGCGUGAAGGAAGAAGGUUUUCGGAUCGUAAACUUCUAUCCUUGGUGAAGAUAAUGACGGUAGCCAAGAAGGAAGCCCCGGCUAACUACGUGCCAGCAGCCGCGGUAAUACGUAGGGGGCAAGCGUUGUCCGGAAUGAUUGGGCGUAAAGGGCGCGUAGGCGGCCCGGUAAGUCUGAAGUGAAAGUCCUGCUUUUAAGGUGGGAAUUGCUUUGGAUACUGUCGGGCUUGAGUGCAGGAGAGGUAAGCGGAAGUCCCGGUGUAGCGGUGAAAUGCGUAGAGAUCGGGAGGAACACCAGUGGCGAAGGCGACUUACUGGACUGUAACUGACGCUGAGGCGCGAAAGUGUGGGGAGCAAACAGGAUUAGAAACCCCUGUAGUCC
This 425-nucleotide ribosomal RNA is filed under the name uncultured bacterium. Its description in RNAcentral is "partial 16S ribosomal RNA". It matches the Rfam family "Bacterial small subunit ribosomal RNA", at positions 354 to 796 of the family's 1533-position model. The record is from RNAcentral.